AUUGAACGCUGGCGGCAUGCUUUACACAUGCAAGUCGAACGGUAACAGGUUAAGCUGACGAGUGGCGAACGAGUGAGUAAUGCAUCGGAACGUGCCCGGGCGUGGGGGAUAACGCAGCGAAAGCUGCGCUAAUACCGCAUACGAUCUAAGGAUGAAAGCGGGGGACCGUAAGGCCUCGCGCGAUCGGAGCGGCCGAUGUCAGAUUAGGUAGUUGGUGGGGUAAAGGCUCACCAAGCCAACGAUCUGUAGCUGGUCUGAGAGGACGACCAGCAACACUGGGACUGAGACACGGCCCAGACUCCUACGGGAGGCAGCAGUGGGGAAUUUUGGACAAUGGGCGAAAGCCUGAUCCAGCAAUGCCGCGUGCAGGAAGAAGGCCUUCGGGUUGUAAACUGCUUUUGUACGGAGCGAAAAGGUCUCCUCUAAUACAGGGGGCUCAUGACGGUACCGUAAGAAUAAGCACCGGCUAACUACGUGCCAGCCGCCGCCGUAA
RNAcentral lists this ribosomal RNA (493 nucleotides) under uncultured bacterium. Its description in RNAcentral is "partial 16S ribosomal RNA". It matches the Rfam family "Bacterial small subunit ribosomal RNA", at positions 29 to 523 of the family's 1533-position model. The record is from RNAcentral.